GAUUGCCUCAGUAACGGCGAGUGAAGCGGCAAAAGCUCAAAUUUUAAAGCUGGCACCUUCGGUGUCCGCGUUGUAAUUUUGUGAGGCAUCUCCGGGUAGGGCGCCGGCCUAAGUUCCUUGGAACGAAACGUCAUAGAGGGUGAGAAUCCCGUGCUUGGCUGGCUGUCCCCGUCCAUGUGAGGUGUCUUCGACGAGUCGAGUUGUUUGGGAAUGCAGCUCAAAAUGGGUGGUAAAUUUCAUCUAAAGCUAAAUAUUGGUGGGAGACCGAUAGCGCACAAGUAGAGUGAUCGAAAGAUGAAAAGCACUUUGAAAAUAGAGUUAAAAAGUACGUGAAAUUGUUGAAAGGGAAGCGCUUGAGACCAGACUUCGGUGGGGGGUGAUCAGCUGUCCUUCUGGGCGGUGCACUUGCUCCCCUCCGGGCCAGCAUCGGUUGGGGCGGCGGGAUAAAGAUCACGGGAAUGUGGCUCCUUUCGGGGAGUGUUAUAGCCCGGGUGAAUGCCGCCAGCUCCGACCGAGGACCGCGCCUUCGGGCUAGGAUG
Molecule: ribosomal RNA, 539 nt
Filed under: Morchella sp. Mes-6
Lineage: Eukaryota; Fungi; Ascomycota; Pezizomycetes; Pezizales; Morchellaceae
Description: eukaryotic LSU rRNA
Rfam family: Eukaryotic large subunit ribosomal RNA
Source: RNAcentral